CAAUUUUUGUGUAUGCAUGUUUAUUUUUUCCUCAUUCUUUUUAAUUAUUGUGGUUUUUAUAGUACAGAGUCAGAUGUGCUCCCAGUUCUCUGCUCAAAGCCCAGUCUGUGAUGGACCUCAGGUACUCCAACCAGAGCCUGCUGGCAGUUCUGCUUCUGCAACUGUGAAGAGUCAGUCUGCCUCACUCCUUGGAAACAACCAGGAACAUUAUUCAUGGGAAAAUGAAUCUUCUCCAGAUCUUGCUUUAAGUUUUAUGUGAAAUUCCUAUUUUUCUGAAUUUUCUUAUCAAUAGAAAAUAAGUUUUGCUUGUUUUAUUUUGAUGAAAAUUGUUCCUCACAUCUGAAAUAUUUGCAUUGGUUAUGCAGGAGGUGAAGAGAUAGUGAUUUAUUUUAAAAUGUUUGAAUUUUUUAGGAAGGUAAUUAAAUAAAAUAUUAACUGAACAGUAAAACA
Molecule: long non-coding RNA, 450 nt
Filed under: Monodelphis domestica (gray short-tailed opossum)
Lineage: Eukaryota; Metazoa; Chordata; Mammalia; Didelphimorphia; Didelphidae
Description: lncRNA (ENSMODG00000033024.2)
Source: RNAcentral